CACGUAUACAUGCAUGUGUUCAUCACAUACACAAAUACACACAAAUAUUCCUCACAAACACACACACGAAAGCAUUCAUCACACACACACACACGCAUGCAGACACCUGAAUGUACACACACACGAAAGCAUUCAUCACACACACACACGCAUGCAGACACCUGAAUGUAACAAUAUAAUACUAGCUAGUAUUUUACCCCACAAUGAACUGAACACUUUAUUUGCAUAAUCUCAUUUCAUACUCAAAAACCUGGAAGUGCCAUUCUUGUCUUACAGAUGAGGAAACUGAGGCACCAAGUGGCUGAGUCCUGUGCCCAAGGCUGCCCGCUGUUCAGCAGAAGAGCCAACGUCUGUGCUUUUGACCCCUCUGCUUCCCGCCUCCCUGUGACCACUUUCGUUCUGUCUUCCCUUCGCUCUGUUGAGUUUACCUUGUCAAGCCUCCCUGACUCCAGCGUGUUUCAUCCUCAAAUUCCACUGGAUGGAUUCCAUAGCACCAGCACCGUGUCUAUCUUAGAAAAACUGCCAAGACGGCCCCUCUUGUUGCGAAAGACCAUCCAAGGAAGAAACCACAGACUCUCAAUCGUCUAUUUUAGAGCCCACUCCUUUGGGAAGUCCUUCCUAAUGUCUAAGUAAAAUUCACUUUGCUUCAAUAUGUUUUCGCUGCAACCUCUGCCUCCUGGGUUCAAGUGAUUCUCAAGCCUCAGCCUCCCGAGUAGCUGGGAUUACAGGUACUCACCACCACACCUGGCUAAUUUUUGUAUUUUUAGUAGAGAUGGGGUUUCACCAUGUUGGCCAGGCUGAUCUCGAACUCCUGGCCUCACAUGAUAUGCCAGCCUUGGCCUCCCAAAGUGCUGGGAUUACAGGCGUGAGCCACUGCACCCGGCCUUGUUUACUGUUUUUGUGGCCUAGUAGGAUCCAAGCCUAGUUGACCAAGGACUAUCAUUUUCUGGCAAACAAAAUUUCUCAUGUCCCUUUCUCAGGCCCCGUUCACAGAGGGGAGGCUGCCUAAUGGGUUUUUAAAGCACUGGAGUCUGGAGUUCAAGUACCCACUCUGCCACUUACUGGCUGUGUGAUGUGAGCUUGGGCAAGUUACUUUGGGGACUACAUGGCAGCUCCAGCUCCUUCCCCUCACCCCAGCCCCAGUCUCUCCCACAGGGGUGAGACUUUGUCUUCUACGUAUUUAUCAAAAUUCCAUUAAGCUCCCCCAGUUGACACAUGUGCUCUCCUCCCACAUAAAAUCCACAUGUCCCAGCCUCUCUUGCAGUCAAGUCUGGUCAUAUCACCAUGCCCCUGGAUCUGAGUGUUUUGUUCUUUGGGUUUCUUUUUUUGGGGAGUGGGGAAUUAGGGGGAAGGGUCUUGCUCUGUCACCCAGGCUGGAGUGCAUUGGGGGUGAUCAUGGCUCACUGCAGCCUCUAAUUCCUGGACUCAAGUGAUCCUCCUGACUCAGCCUCCCAAAUGGCUGGGAUUACAGGUGCACCACCCUGCCUAGCUAAUUUGG
This 1498-nucleotide long non-coding RNA is filed under the name Piliocolobus tephrosceles (Ugandan red Colobus). RNAcentral describes it as "lncRNA (ENSPTEG00000032476.1)". The record is from RNAcentral. Lineage: Eukaryota; Metazoa; Chordata; Mammalia; Primates; Cercopithecidae.